RNAcentral lists this ribosomal RNA (492 nucleotides) under uncultured bacterium. RNAcentral's name for it is "partial 16S ribosomal RNA". It matches the Rfam family "Bacterial small subunit ribosomal RNA", at positions 32 to 507 of the family's 1533-position model. The record is from RNAcentral.
AUUUAACUCUUUCUUUAGGCCUAACACAUGCAAGUCGAACGGCAGCACAGUAAGAGCUUGCUCUUACGGGUGGCGAGUGGCGGACGGGUGAGGAAUACAUCGGAAUCUACUUUUUCGUGGGGGAUAACGUAGGGAAACUUACGCUAAUACCGCAUACGACCUACGGGUGAAAGCAGGGGAUCUUCGGACCUUGCGCGAUUGAAUGAGCCGAUGUCGGAUUAGCUAGUUGGCGGGGUAAAGGCCCACCAGGGCGACGAUCCGUAGCUGGUCUGAGAGGAUGAUCAGCCACACUGGAACUGAGACACGGUCCAGACUCCUACGGGAGGCAGCAGUGGGGAAUAUUGGACAAUGGGCGCAAGCCUGAUCCAGCCAUACCGCGUGGGUGAAGAAGGCCUUCGGGUUGUAAAGCCCUUUUGUUGGGAAAGAAAAGCAGCAGGUUAAUACCCCGCUGUUCUGACGGUACCCAAAGAAUAAGCACCGGCUAACUUCGUG